ACGAAGGGGGCUAGCGUUGUUCGGAAUUACUGGGCGUAAAGAGUUGCGUAGGUGGCAUGGUAAGCGAGUAGUGAAAGCGUUCGGCUCAACCGGAUAUCCAUUACUCGAACUGCCAAGCUAGAGAGUGAGAGAGGUAGCUGGAAUUCCUAGUGUAGGGGUAAUAUCCGUUGAUAUUAGGAGGAACACCGAUGGCGUAAGCAGGCUACUGGCUCAUUUCUGACACUCAGGCACGAAAGCGUGGGGAGCAAAUGGGA
This 254-nucleotide ribosomal RNA is filed under the name uncultured prokaryote. RNAcentral's name for it is "partial 16S ribosomal RNA". It matches the Rfam family "Bacterial small subunit ribosomal RNA", at positions 525 to 777 of the family's 1533-position model. The record is from RNAcentral.